This is a long non-coding RNA of Nothoprocta perdicaria, 235 nucleotides long. RefSeq lists it as uncharacterized. The transcript is spliced from 2 exons. Lineage: Eukaryota; Metazoa; Chordata; Aves; Tinamiformes; Tinamidae. The record is from RefSeq and is a predicted model, not a curated record.
UUCUGCAUCCGCGGCUGGUGCAUCGUGGGCAAGAAGCAGACGUGCCCGUACUGCCGCGAGAAGGUCGACCUGCGGCGCAUGUUCAGCAACCCCUGGGAGCGGCCGCACGUGCUCUACGGGCAGCUGCUGGACUGGCUGCGCUACCUGGUGGCCUGGCAGCCGCUCAUCAUCGCGCUCGUGCAGGGCAUCAACUACGCGCUCGGCCUCGAGUAGGGCGCCCCACGGCACCCAUGGG